CUGGCCUAAUUUGUUUAAAUUUCAAAAAAUGUAAAGUACAUCGAUGAAUCAUAGAACAGAGAAGCAUGCAAUAUAUCCAGAUACUGUUUGAAUUUGAGAACCGACUCACGAGGAGGAGCUAACAACAACUCUACUACUAAAUCAGCACAAGUGAGUAGGUCGGAAUUCCAUAUAGUGCUUUUAAUCACGUACAAAUGUCUUGUACUCAUUUAAGAGAAGCUCACAACAUAAUUAAUAAGACAAGGAGAUGAGCCAAUUAAGGAGUAACAUAUGUAAGAAUUGCCCAACAAAAAACUGUUGUGUAAGCUAGCUAGAAAUGCCUUUACAUUAUUCAUGUGAAAGAGGACGCGGGAAUAGAAUGUAUCAUCAAAGGGAGAAAAGCAGCAGCAACUCUCAUGUUGCCGGCCGGCCCACGAGGCAUUUCUUGUAGGUGCUUGUAGCCCCAAACUCCACUGCUUGCUAGGGACAGUAACAGUAGUGCUUGCAGUUAAACUGAACGAGAGGAUGAAACUUGUGUACCAAUGUCGCCUUGUCUCCUCAAAGAGGUGGGAAGCUGAUAGUGCAAUAAUUAGUCCCUUCCUGUCCUGGCACUCAUGAUCUUUCUUGCUUGAGCUUGUACAGGGAAGGAAACAUGAACAUAUGAGUCAACGAAAUUAAGAGAAAGAUCAUAAAGUUUAUAAAAUCUUGGGAAUACAGUAGUACCUCAAGGCUACUAUCAGCAGAUUUUUUGAAAGAUGAGAGUAG
This 744-nucleotide long non-coding RNA is filed under the name Triticum aestivum (bread wheat). Its description in RNAcentral is "long non-coding RNA (TAES_LNC019001)". Lineage: Eukaryota; Viridiplantae; Streptophyta; Magnoliopsida; Poales; Poaceae. The record is from RNAcentral.